Molecule: long non-coding RNA, 441 nt
Filed under: Mus musculus (house mouse)
Lineage: Eukaryota; Metazoa; Chordata; Mammalia; Rodentia; Muridae
Description: RIKEN cDNA 4930557F08 gene
Source: RNAcentral
ACAGCGGAGGCCCGCGCCAUCUUAUAAUGGCGAUUGCUCUUGGCACACACGGCUCUCCUCAGAGAUUACUGGCGGCACGCACGCGAUUGCUCGCAGCACUUCUAUUGAAGAUUUAUUGGCAUUGAAAAUCUCAUAUUUGGAGGUUCUAGAUCAGCAAGUUUUAUGUCAAUUUCAAACAUGAUAUGGUCUUUUGCCAACAGGGAACAUCAAUUGAGAUAAUUGCCACACCCAGACUGGAGAGUCUUGAAGGUAUCACUGGUGGCAUGGUGCCCGACAAGAUGGAAUAGAAGCAGACGGCAAGAAAGGAAGAAAGCUCUGCAAGCCCAUCAGAAUCCGCAGAAAUGACUAUGGAAUGGUACGAAAAGAAGAGCCGAUCAAACAGGCUUCCAUCUGCUUCCAUCUCCAAAGUUCAACUUUUAUUAUAAACUAUGCAACUGAAAA